This is a long non-coding RNA of Aptenodytes forsteri (emperor penguin), 187 nucleotides long. RefSeq lists it as uncharacterized. The record is from RefSeq and is a predicted model, not a curated record. NCBI's taxonomy places the organism in Eukaryota, Metazoa, Chordata, Aves, Sphenisciformes, Spheniscidae. The transcript has 2 exons.
GAUUGCUAAGCAUCAGCUGAGAGAGAACGGCCUCCUGCCUGCUGUACUAGCCCCAGCACCUUGUGAUCAUACUAUGUUUGGCAUACAUCUGAAAAGUCCAUGGAUGGAUGAAAAACAGAAGACUUGGGAGGAAGAGGAGAGCAAAGAAUGGGAGAAGAAACUGAGCAUUUAAGAUCAAACAGGAGAA